GACGAACGCUGGCGGCGUGCCUAAUACAUGCAAGUCGAACGCAUUUUCUUUAACCGUAGCUUGCUACACCGAAAGAAAAUGAGUGGGGAACGGGUGAGUAACACGCGGGUAACCUGCCCAUCAGCGGGGGAGAAAACUUGCAAACAGGCGCUAAUAACGCCCAAUUAAAUUUACUGCAUGCAAGAUGGGUGAAAAGCGCUCUUCCGUCACUGUCGGAUGGAGCCGCGGUGCAUUAGCUAGUUGGUGAGGUAACGGCCUACCAAGGCUGCGAUGCAUAGCCGACCUGAGAGGGUGAUCGGCCACACUGGGACUGAGACACGGCCCAGACUCCUACGGGAGGCAGCAGUAGGGAAUCUUCGGCAAUGGACGCAAGUCUGACCGAGCAACGCCGCGUGAGUGAAGAAGGUUUUCGGAUCGUAAAACUCUGUUGUUAGAAAAGAACGAGAAUGAGAGUAGAAAGUCCUUCCUUGGAGGGUAUCUAACAAGAAGGCCCGGGUUAAUUACUG
RNAcentral lists this ribosomal RNA (506 nucleotides) under uncultured bacterium. Its description in RNAcentral is "partial 16S ribosomal RNA". It matches the Rfam family "Bacterial small subunit ribosomal RNA", at positions 28 to 506 of the family's 1533-position model. The record is from RNAcentral.